Molecule: non-coding RNA, 204 nt
Filed under: Caenorhabditis japonica
Lineage: Eukaryota; Metazoa; Nematoda; Chromadorea; Rhabditida; Rhabditidae
Description: Eukaryotic small subunit ribosomal RNA
Rfam family: Eukaryotic small subunit ribosomal RNA
Source: Rfam by way of RNAcentral
UCAUCAGCUCACGUUGAUUACGUCCCUGCCCUUUGUACACACCGCCCGUCGCUAUCCGGGACUGAACUGAUUCGAGAAGAGUGGGGACUGUGGCUGCGAGGUUUUACCACUUCGCAGUUGCGGAAACCAUUUUUAUCGCAUUGGUUUGAACCGGGUAAAAGUCGUAACAAGGUAGCUGUAGGUGAACCUGCAGCUGGAUCAUCG